RNAcentral lists this ribosomal RNA (496 nucleotides) under uncultured bacterium. Its description in RNAcentral is "partial 16S ribosomal RNA". It matches the Rfam family "Bacterial small subunit ribosomal RNA", at positions 28 to 507 of the family's 1533-position model. The record is from RNAcentral.
GAUGAACGCUGGCGGCGUGCCUAAUACAUGCAAGUCGAGCGAACGGACGAGAAGCUUGCUUCUCUGAUGUUAGCGGCGGACGGAUGAGUAACACGUGGAUAACCUACCUAUAAGACUGGGAUAACUUCGGGAAACCGGAGCUAAUACCGGAUAAUAUUUUGAACCGCAUGGUUCAAAAGUGAAAGACGGUCUUGCUGUCACUUAUAGAUGGAUCCGCGCUGCAUUAGCUAGUUGGUAAGGUAACGGCUUACCAAGGCAACGAUGCAUAGCCGACCUGAGAGGGUGAUCGGCCACACUGGAACUGAGACACGGUCCAGACUCCUACGGGAGGCAGCAGUAGGGAAUCUUCCGCAGUGGGCGAAAGCCUGACGGAGCAACGCCGCGUGAGUGAUGAAGGUCUUCGGAUCGUAAAACUCUGUUAUAGGGAAGAACAUAUGUGUAAGUAACUGUGCACAUCUUGACGGUACCUAAUCAGAAAGCCACGGCUAACUACGUG